Molecule: ribosomal RNA, 422 nt
Filed under: uncultured eukaryote
Lineage: Eukaryota
Description: bacterial SSU rRNA
Rfam family: Eukaryotic small subunit ribosomal RNA
Source: RNAcentral
CCGGCCAGUAGUCAUAUGCUUGUCUCAAAGAUUAAGCCAUGCAAGUCUGAGUAUAAUUGUUUUACGGUGAAACUGCGAAUGGCUCAUUAAAUCAGUUAUAGUUUAUUUGAUGCUAUAGACCGCAAGGUCACUACAUGGAUAUCUGUAGUAACAUAGAGCUAAUACAUGCAAUAUAGUCUGACUUUUUGGAAGGACUAGCACUUAUUAGAUAUUAAACCAGUCCCAGCAAUGGGUUUUUUGGUGAUUCAUAGUAACUGAACAAAUCACAUGGUCUUGUACCGGUGAUGUUUCAUUUCAAAUUUUCUGCCCUAUCAACUAGAUGGUAGUAUAUAGGACUACCAUUGGUUGUAACGGGUAACGGAGGAUUUAGGGUUUGAUUCCGGAGAAGGAGCAUGGAGAACGGCUACUAUUUCUAAGGAAAG